GGCCAGGUAGCUCAGUCGGUACGAGCGUCCGCCUGAAAAGCGGAAGGUCGGCGGUUCGAUCCCGCCCCUGGCCA
Transfer RNA from Mycobacterium avium subsp. paratuberculosis, 74 nucleotides. It matches the Rfam family "tRNA". Rfam says of the family: Transfer RNA (tRNA) molecules are approximately 80 nucleotides in length. Their secondary structure includes four short double-helical elements and three loops (D, anti-codon, and T loops). Further hydrogen bonds mediate the characteristic L-shaped molecular structure. tRNAs have two regions of fundamental functional importance: the anti-codon, which is responsible for specific mRNA codon recognition, and the 3' end, to which the tRNAs corresponding amino acid is attached (by aminoacyl-tRNA synthetases). tRNAs cope with the degeneracy of the genetic code in two manners: having more than one tRNA (with a specific anti-codon) for a particular amino acid; and 'wobble' base-pairing, i.e. permitting non-standard base-pairing at the 3rd anti-codon position. The record is from Rfam. Lineage: Bacteria; Bacillati; Actinomycetota; Actinomycetes; Mycobacteriales; Mycobacteriaceae.